This is an RNA transcript of Aphis gossypii (cotton aphid), 4146 nucleotides long. It is a transcript of the gene named ATP-dependent DNA/RNA helicase DHX36-like, with no coding region annotated. The record is from RefSeq and is a predicted model, not a curated record. Lineage: Eukaryota; Metazoa; Arthropoda; Insecta; Hemiptera; Aphididae. The transcript has 19 exons.
CCUUUAAUUUUAUGAUAUCACAAUCUUUAUAAUACUAAAAGAUGUGUUUAUUAUUUUUUUAUACGUAAUUCGACGAAAUGUUUUUCAUGCUAUUUCACCAAUAUCUUACAUCAAUACAUUUUGUUCUUUACCACCACAAAGUCACCUCUCUUUAAUAGUACUUAUAUCAUUACAUCUAAACCAAAGAUUUGAUUUUUUUUACCAAAUGCUUUAAAACGCGCGAAGAAACAAAACGAUAUUACUUCAUAACAAAUUGUCAAAGUGUCAACUGAUACAAAAUGAGUUAAUGAGCGGGAAAACAGGACGGCGGAAAAGUGACGUUUUCUUAUAACGUUUUCGACCGUUCACGACUAUGACCGAAUCCGUGAGGCUGCAUAACCAACGCCCAACAGUGCCGGUGCUAAGGCGGGGUGAAACAUGUGACGGUGUACGUUAGGACGUAUCGGUCGUAUCGCCACAAUGUUAUCGUUUUGAUUACGACAGGCCGCAGCGACCACAGCGAAGUCUUUUUUCAGUUUUCGGAACUGCGCUUAGUACAGCAAGAGCCCCCCCAAUCGAGAAACGGGCGAACUACUUGGCGUUUUAUUAUAUAGAUCGUUGGAGAUAGGAAGAACAAAGAACAUUUUUGAUCUCUUAACUUUAUCUAUUGUUUAAUGUUUAAUAGUUUCUUAUUUAUUUUAAUAUAUACCUAAGUUUAGUAUACAGUGAAUAUACACAGUAUACAGUUUGCUUAACGUUAAACUACUGGUGGAACUUUAUUAACUAUUGUCUAUUCUUAGAUGUUAAAAUGAAUUGUAAUUAUUAACUGUUUGUACCAGAAAAUGUGAUUAUACUAUUAAAACUACUCAUAUAAUAAUAAUAAUAAUAACAAAAUAAUUGACUGUUAAACAUUUACAUCAUCAUGCAGCCAAUGAAACCUUUUAAAAUUAAUAAGAAAACUGGACCUAAAGAUAAAAAUAAAGUACCUAGACAGCAAUCUAAAAGUAAUCGUGGUGAUGAUGAUGAUGAUUUCUUUUUGGACAAUAGUGGGCCGUCAAAUAUGAAUGAUGAACAAAAUUCAAGAUCAUUUCAUCCUCCUAAUUUGAAAGGAAGAAAUAUUGACUCAUGGCAUGCUCGUAAACAAGCAAGUAUGAUAGAGGAUAAAGAAAUAAUUGAUAUGACAAGACCUAAAAUCAAGCCACCUCCUGGUUUAACAGGUCAUGAAUUAGAUAUGUGGCAUAAAGAAUAUAAUCGCUUAUGGCAAAAAUCCAUAAAGAAAAAACAACAAAAAGAAAAAGGAAAAUGUUUUAUUAAGUUAGGAAUUGAAGAAAUUAGUCGUAUGGAAAUGCAAUUUCAACAACUUGAAGAAGAAAUGCCAAUUAUUGAUGAAAAUAUUAAACCGUCUGUUAUAUCAAAUUCAAAACUGAAUAAAAAAGUUCACAGCAAUCAUAAGGCUUUAAAUCUUUUGACAUUAAAAGAUGAAGAUGUAGAUGAAAAUGCUGAGUACAUAAUUGAUAGAUAUAAAAAACUGGAAGAUUCAAAUUUCAAAAGAAAAUUUUUAGAUAACAUUACUGGAUCCAUGGAAAAAAAUCUUGUCGCGUCUAUUCAAAGUAAUAUGAAGCUUCAAAAUGAUGAAUCAAAAAAUGCAUAUUUGAGAAAUGAACUUGAAAAUAAACGUGAAACUGUCAAGUAUAGAUCUAUGUGUGAAAUCAGAAAGAAACUGCCUUUUUAUAGCAAAAAAGAUGAAAUUUUAGAACUGAUUCAUAAGAAUCAAGUUAUACUGAUAAGUGGCGAAACAGGCUGUGGUAAAACUACUCAAAUGGCCCAAUUCAUUCUUGAUGAUGCUAUUAUGUCUGACCGUGGUUCAACAUGUAGAAUUGUUUGUACUCAACCAAGAAGAAUCAGCGUUAUAUCAGUGGCUGAACGUGUUGCUGAUGAAAGAGCUGAGCAUGUAGGAGAAGCAAGUGUUGGUUAUCAAAUCAAACUGGAAAAAAAACUGGAACGUGAAUAUGGAUCUAUACUGUUUUGUACCACUGGUAUUUUACUUCAACAUAUUCAAAGAGAUUCAGCUUUAAAUUGUUAUUCACAUAUUAUUAUUGAUGAAAUACAUGAACGUGAUACCAUUAGUGAUUUUACUUUAACUAUUCUCAAGAGCAUCAUACCUGUUAGACCUGAUAUUAAAGUUAUAUUAAUGAGUGCAACAUUAAAUUCUGCAGUAUUUUCUAAGUAUUAUAAUGAUUGUCCAUCUUUGAAUGUACCUGGAUUCACAUAUCCAGUUGAAGAACUAUACUUAGAAGAUAUCUACACAUUAAAUAAGUUUAGAUAUUUUCCUAAAAAACAAACACAAAAAUCUCGCAAAACAAAGCUUGGUGAUCCAUUUAGUGAUUUUGUAAUUCCUUAUGUAAAUGAAAUGAGGAGAUUCAAUAAAUUUCCUUUAUCAUUAUUAAAUUGGUUGGAAAAUCCAAUGUCUGAAGACACAGAUUAUGAAUUAAUUUUAGAACUCAUUUAUUACAUUUGUAAUAAUAAAGAUUAUGGUGCAAUACUUGUGUUUCUUUCGGGAUGGGACCAAAUAUCAAAACUGACUAAAAUUUUAAAAGAUAAAGGCUUUGGAAAUACAUCUCGAUAUAUAUUAAUUCCUUUGCAUUCCAUGUUACCUACUGUAUCUCAAAAAUUUGUUUUUGAAUCACCACCUCCGGGUGUUCGUAAGAUCAUAUUAUCCACAAACAUAGCAGAAACUUCAGUUACUAUAGAUGAUGUAGUUUAUGUAAUUAAUAAUGGUCGGAUGAAGUUGAAAGGAUUUGAUGCAGAAAACAACAUUGGAACUCUUAAUGAAGAAUGGGUGAGCUUAGCUAAUUCUAGACAACGUCGGGGCAGAGCAGGUCGUGUGAGACCUGGUAUUUGUUAUCAUUUAUAUACAAGAGGGCGUGAAAGAUCAUUUAGUGAUUAUGUAUUACCUGAAAUGAUGCGGACAAGCUUAGAAGAAGUAAUACUUCAAGCUAAAAUAUUACAAGUUGGUAUGGUAACACCGUUCUUGGAGAAAGUAAUGAAUCCACCAGAAACCAAAACUCUCGAAGUAGCUUUAAAACUAUUGAUAGACUUGAAUGCUUUAGACGAAAAAGAAAAUUUGACUCCAUUAGGUUUUCAUCUAGCAAAAUUACCAAUCGGGCCACUUGAAGGUAAAAUGAUUAUCUUAGGUGCAAUGUUUAGUUGCUUGAGUCCAAUAAUGACAAUUGCUGCUAGUUUAAAUUUUAAAGAUCCUUUUGUCAUGCCAACAAACAAGGAAUAUCAAUGCUGUGAAAUUAAAAAAAAAAUGGAUGAAGGACAUCAAAGUGAUCAUCUUAUGGUCACAAGAGUUAUGAGUAAAUUUUUAUUAGCAAAACGAGAAAAUAAAGCAUGGGAGUUUUGUAAAGAAAAUUUCCUAAUGUUGAAUACAAUGAACAUGUUGCAUGAAUUAAAAUCUCAAUACGCUAAAUAUUUAUGUGAUCUUGGAUUUAUCAAAACGCCCACCUAUACAGCUUUUGAGUACAAUCAGAAUUCAAAUAAUAUUAAGCUUUUGAAAUGUGUUCUAACUGCUGGUUUGUGUCCCAAUAUUGCUGUUUCUUAUCCCGAGAUUAAAACAAAUGGUCAUAAAUUUUCUAAAUUUAUUACUGCUGAAGAUGGAAAAGUGGAAAUUCAUCCCAAGUCUGUGAAUUCAAUUGAUUGUUACUAUGAGAGCCCUUUAUUACUAUACCACACAAAACUAAAGACCACUUCAAUAUUUUUGCAUGAUACCACUAUGAUUUAUCCAUUUCCUGUGGUGCUGUUUGCAAAAAGUCUCAAAAUAACUGGUGAAAAAACUGACCAAGUUACUUUUAGUCUUAACCCUCAAAUAAAUUUCACUUGUUCUAAUAGAAUAGCAGUUUUUAUUAAGUUUUGUGUCAUGGAUGUAUAUUCAAGAUGGGGCAUAAUAUAAUAUAGCCAAUCUGUAUGAACUAGCUUCUGAUGUAGUAUGAUAAUUGAAAAAUAAGGAAGGCAAAGACUGAGCCAAAACAAGUAAGAAAAAGAUUGAAGUGGUUGAUUGAUCAUCUAAUGUCACAUCCUGAAGAAAUAAGUUUUAAUUCAAAUUCAGGCAGUGGGAAAGCUCUUAAACUUGUGGUUGAUCUUGUAUCCGCAGAAGAACAUCCUGGU